AAGAUUCCGGCGAUUAAAGUCCACCGGUGGUAAAAUAUUACCCAAAUCUACACUCCUUGACUCGUUUUGGGGCAUUUAAUUUAGGAGCAUCAAUGACGAAGAGAGACAGACCCUUCAAGAGUCAACGAACACAUACUGAAGAGAAGCGGCUAAGAUCAG
Molecule: long non-coding RNA, 159 nt
Organism: Salvia splendens (bonfire salvia)
Lineage: Eukaryota; Viridiplantae; Streptophyta; Magnoliopsida; Lamiales; Lamiaceae
Exons: 3
Source: RefSeq, a predicted model, not a curated record